UGGGGAAUAUUGCACAAUGGGCGAAAGCCUGAUGCAGCAACGCCGCGUGAGCGAUGAAGGCCUUUGGGUCGUAAAGCUCUGUCCUCGGGGAAGAAUAAAUGACGGUACCCUUGGAGGAAGCCCCGGCUAACUACGUGCCAGCAGCCGCGGUAAUACGUAGGGGGCAAGCGUUAUCCGGAAUUAUUGGGCGUAAAGAGUGCGUAGGUGGUUUUGUAAGCGCGGGGUGAAAGGCAAUGGCUCAACUAUUGUAAGCCCUGUGAACUGCAAGACCUGAGUGCAGGAGAGGAAAGUGGAAUUCCUAGUGUAGCGGUGAAAUGCGUAGAUAUUAGGAGGAACACCAGUGGCGAAGGCGACUUUCUGGACUGUAACUGACACUGAGGCACGAAAGCGUGGGGAGCAAACA
This 403-nucleotide ribosomal RNA is filed under the name uncultured prokaryote. RNAcentral describes it as "bacterial SSU rRNA". It matches the Rfam family "Bacterial small subunit ribosomal RNA", at positions 355 to 774 of the family's 1533-position model. The record is from RNAcentral.